GCUAAUAUAGUUUAAGUAAAAUACUAUUUUUGUAAUAUAGGGAUAAUGAUUUUUUACAUUUUUUAGCU
This 68-nucleotide transfer RNA is filed under the name Enterogyrus malmbergi. RNAcentral's name for it is "tRNA-Thr". The record is from RNAcentral. Lineage: Eukaryota; Metazoa; Platyhelminthes; Monogenea; Dactylogyridea; Ancyrocephalidae.